Molecule: ribosomal RNA, 465 nt
Filed under: uncultured bacterium
Lineage: Bacteria
Description: partial 16S ribosomal RNA
Rfam family: Bacterial small subunit ribosomal RNA
Source: RNAcentral
GACGAACGCUGGCGGCGUGCUUAACACAUGCAAGUCGAACGGAAAGGCCCUGCUUGCCGGGUACUCGAGUGGCGAACGGGUGAGUAACACGUGGGUGAUCUGCCCUGCACUUCGGGAUAAGCCUGGGAAACUGGGUCUAAUACCGGAUAGGAGCCAUUUUUAGUGUGAUGGUUGGAAAGUUUUUUCGGUGUAGGAUGAGCUCGCGGCCUAUCAGCUUGUUGGUGGGGUAAUGGCCUACCAAGGCGGCGACGGGUAGCCGGCCUGAGAGGGUGGACGGCCACAUUGGGACUGAGAUACGGCCCAGACUCCUACGGGAGGCAGCAGUGGGGAAUAUUGCACGAGGGGCGCAAGCCUGAUGCAGAGACGCCGCGUGGGGGAUGACGGCCUUCGGGUUGUAAACUCCGUGCGCUAGGGACGAAGCUUUUUGUGACGGUACCUAGAUAAGAAGCACCGGCUAACUACGUG